GACGAACGCUGGCGGCGUGCUUAACACAUGCAAGUCGAACGGAAAGGCCCUGCUUUUGUGGGGUGCUCGAGUGGCGAACGGGUGAGUAACACGUGAGUAACCUGCCCUUGACUUUGGGAUAACUUCAGGAAACUGGGGCUAAUACCGGAUAGGAGCUCCUGCUGCAUGGUGGGGGUUGGAAAGUUUCGGCGGUUGGGGAUGGACUCGCGGCUUAUCAGCUUGUUGGUGGGGUAGUGGCUUACCAAGGCUUUGACGGGUAGCCGGCCUGAGAGGGUGACCGGCCACAUUGGGACUGAGAGACGGCCCAGACUCCUACGGGAGGCAGCAGUGGGGAAUAUGGCACAAUGGGCGGAAGCCUGAUGCAGCAACGCCGCGUGCGGGAUGACGGCCUUCGGGUUGUAAACCGCUUUCGCCUGUGACGAAGCGGGAGUGACGGUAAUGGGUAAAGAAGCACCGGCUAACUACGUG
RNAcentral lists this ribosomal RNA (468 nucleotides) under uncultured bacterium. RNAcentral describes it as "partial 16S ribosomal RNA". It matches the Rfam family "Bacterial small subunit ribosomal RNA", at positions 28 to 507 of the family's 1533-position model. The record is from RNAcentral.